This 253-nucleotide ribosomal RNA is filed under the name uncultured bacterium. RNAcentral's name for it is "partial 16S ribosomal RNA". It matches the Rfam family "Bacterial small subunit ribosomal RNA", at positions 524 to 776 of the family's 1533-position model. The record is from RNAcentral.
UACGUAGGGGGCGAGCGUUGUCCGGAUUUAUUGGGCGUAAAGAGCUCGUAGGCGGUUUGUCGCGUCGGCCGUGAAAUCUCCACGCUUAACCGGGGAACUGCGUCUGAUACUGGAUGGCUUGAGUUCGGGAGAGGGAUGCGGAAUUCCAGGUGUAGCGGUGAAAUGCGUAGAUAUCUGGAGGAACACCGGUGGCGAAGGCGGCAUCCUGGACCGACACUGACGCUGAGGAGCGAAAGCCAGGGGAGCAAACGGG